RNAcentral lists this long non-coding RNA (376 nucleotides) under Pongo abelii (Sumatran orangutan). RNAcentral's name for it is "lincRNA". Lineage: Eukaryota; Metazoa; Chordata; Mammalia; Primates; Hominidae. The record is from RNAcentral.
GAACCGAUAUCGCGAUACUGCACUCCAGCCUGGGCGACAGAGCGAGACUACCUCUCAAAAAAAAAAAAAAAAAGUGUUAGAAUGCCUAUUAGCUGCAUGAGGGGAAACAGUAACCAGAAAGUAGAGGACUGGACAACAUCUGGACCAAGGGAUCAAAAUUAAUAUCAAUAAUCCCUAGAAUCAGGCGUUUCUUUAAGAGGCCCUACUUCCUCUAAUUGGAUAAUUCUAGAAACCAGUAUUUGAAUCUGAGGUUUAACUAAAGAGAAUACCUUCUACUGAUGUAACAGCAAUGGUAACUGGUAUAAAAGCAAAAGCAUAUGGAAAGAAGAAAACACAACAAAGGCCACUUAUUGAAAUAAAACCUAUUAAAAAUGUA